This 559-nucleotide long non-coding RNA is filed under the name Prunus persica (peach). RNAcentral's name for it is "long non-coding RNA (PPER_LNC008496)". The record is from RNAcentral. Lineage: Eukaryota; Viridiplantae; Streptophyta; Magnoliopsida; Rosales; Rosaceae.
UCCACCUAAGGUACACUUGCUAUCCCUUCUUUUAGUUUAUAUAUCUUCCUUCCUUUCCAAUGUAAAGAACCUGCACGCAUACCUUAACUCAACUCAAGAGUGUUACAUUCCAUGCAUGAAACUAAGGAAUCAAACAAAGCCUAUGUACCUGCAGACUUCCACAUAACCAAGGCUCUGAAUGAACUUUCUUGAAUUCUGUAUCUCCUAGCCUCGGAACUCAUAGUCGUUGCACGUGUGAUGAGCCAGCCCCUCUAUCUGACCUGAAAUAACCUUGCUUUAGACAUUAAGAGUCCUAAAUGUAAGAUGCGAAAUAUAUAAUUUAUGCAACCAUGGAUGGAAAACAUAGCUUCCAGGACCAGAUCAAUAACAAAAAGUUCCGCUUGGAAGUAGUUUAUAGUAGUCUAACAUUAUAUGUGUGAUACUAAGAUAAUAAUUGUUGUGAAGCUGAUAGGAUGGAAAGACAAAGACAGAACCUUGCUUGUUGAUCCAGAUGAAAUUAAUUGCUUGAAAAGGGUGGGCCGAUUAAAUGACACAGCGAAUUCCAUAUACGAACUUUACA